UUUUUUGCACCUCAUCAGGACGUAAUGGCCCA
RNAcentral lists this small RNA (32 nucleotides) under Salmonella enterica subsp. enterica serovar Typhi. RNAcentral describes it as "StyR-99". Lineage: Bacteria; Pseudomonadati; Pseudomonadota; Gammaproteobacteria; Enterobacterales; Enterobacteriaceae. The record is from RNAcentral.